GACGUAGGUGGCGAACGUUAUCCGGAAUUAUUGGGCGUAAAGGGUGCGUAGGCGGCAUGAUAAGUUAUUGGCGGCAAAUCGAGGCUCAACCUCGUGGAAACUGAUAAUACUGUCUUGCUUGAGUGCAGAAGAGGUUAACGGAACUCCAUGUGGAGCGGUGAAAUGCGUAGAGAUCGGAAAGAACACCAACGGCGAAAGCACUCUGCUGGGCCGACACUGACACUGAGAGACGAAAGCUAGGGGAGCGAAUGGG
This 253-nucleotide ribosomal RNA is filed under the name uncultured bacterium. RNAcentral's name for it is "partial 16S ribosomal RNA". It matches the Rfam family "Bacterial small subunit ribosomal RNA", at positions 524 to 776 of the family's 1533-position model. The record is from RNAcentral.